GACGCGGUGGCCAUGUGGUUAGCGCUUUUGUUUCACGUGCAACAGGGCUCAGGUUCGAUCCUAGUUGGGGUCA
This is a non-coding RNA of Caenorhabditis brenneri, 73 nucleotides long. NCBI's taxonomy places the organism in Eukaryota, Metazoa, Nematoda, Chromadorea, Rhabditida, Rhabditidae. The record is from the annotation of a GenBank genome assembly.